Molecule: long non-coding RNA, 335 nt
Filed under: Elaeis guineensis (African oil palm)
Lineage: Eukaryota; Viridiplantae; Streptophyta; Magnoliopsida; Arecales; Arecaceae
Description: long non-coding RNA (EGUI_LNC061982)
Source: RNAcentral
GACUGGAAGAGGAUCGGCGGUGACUCCAGAUGGUCUGACUUCAUCAUCGGACACCUCGUUCAGGAAGCCGAGAUCCAAUUCGGAAAACCUCCCAGCCACCUUCUCUUGGCAGAGCUCAAACCCCUUGAUGAAGGCGUCCUGGCCGAACUGGACCUUUAAAUCUUCCAUCUCGGAGGAGGCUUUGAACUCCUCCACUGCUCGAGCCCUUGCCUCCGAGACCAGAGAUGGAAUCCAUGCCUUCAGCUCAAAAAUUUGCUCCUUCAGCUCGAAAACCUGCACCCUCAACGUGGAGACCUCGGCCUCAGCCUUCCCUCUCUCCUCCUCCAAGGCGGUCC